This 2496-nucleotide ribosomal RNA is filed under the name metagenome. RNAcentral describes it as "bacterial LSU rRNA". It matches the Rfam family "Bacterial large subunit ribosomal RNA", at positions 11 to 2624 of the family's 2925-position model. The record is from RNAcentral.
UUAAGGGCAUAUGGUGGAUGUCUUGGCGUUGAGAGGCGAUGAAGGACGUAGGAACUUGCGAUAAGUCUUAGGGAGCUGGUAACCAAGCAAUGAUCUAAGAAUCUCCGAAUAGGGAAACCUAAUCUGUUCUGCAGAUUACCCAUACCCGAAUGCAUACGGUAUGGGGGCGAACGCAGCGAACUGAAACAUCUCAGUAGCUGUAGGAAAGGAAAGCAAAAGCGACUCCGUAAGUAGCGGCGAGCGAAAGCGGAUCAGCCCGGUGUGAAUAUAUAUUUGUCAUACUUUGAAGUGUCUGGAAAGGCACACCACAGAAGGUGAUAGUCCUGUACGGGAACAGCAAAUAUGUAGAAGCAUCUUUACGAGUAGCACGGAGCUCGUGAAACUCUGUGUGAAUAUAGCGGGGUCCACCCCGUAAGGCUAAGUACUCCUCAACGACCGAUAGUGAAUCAGUAAGGUGACUGAAUGAUGAAAAGCACCCCGAUAAGGGGCGUGAAAAGUACCUGAAACCAUAUGCUUACAAGCUGUAGGAGCACCCUCGUGGUGUGACUGCGUGCCUUUUGCAUAAUGAUCCUACGAGUUGUUCUCUGUAGCAAGGCUAAGUUGAAUCCCAACGGAGCCGAAGGGAAACCGAGUCUAAAUAGGGCGACAUAGUUGCAGGGAGCAGACGCGAAACCUGGUGAUCUACCCAUGGGCAGGUUGAAGAAGGGGUAAAACCCUUUGGAGGACCGAACACACCUACGUUGAAAAGUGGGGUGAUGACCUGUGGGGAGGAGUAAAAGUCUUAUCAAACCAGGAGAUAUCUCGUUCUCUCCGAAAUAGCUUUAGGGCUAGCCUCGAGUUAUAUUGUUUGGGGGUAGAGCUACUGGAUGGAGAUGGGGGCCCACAAGGCUACCCACUCCAACCAAACUCCGAAUACCAAACAACUCUAUCUCGGGAGUCAGUCCGUGGGAGAUAAUUUCCACGGUCGAAAGGGAAACAGCCCAGACCGUCAGUUAAGGUCCCUAAUCAAACCUAAGUUUGUUAAGGUAGUUAAAUUNCAGUGACAGCCAGGAUGUUGGCUUAGAAGCAGCCACCAUUUAAAGAGUGCGUAACAGCUCACUGGUCGAGGAAUUUAGCGCCGAUAAUGAUCGGGAAUUAAGGUUUGUACCGAAACUGCGGAAUGAAUUUAUUCAUUGGUAGGAGAGCGUUGCUGUCAGCGUUGAAGGUGUCCCGGAAGGGUAUCUGGAGCGGCAGCAAGUGAAUAUGUAGGAUUGAGUAACGAUAAAUGGAGUGAGAAUCUCCAUCGCCGAAAACCUAAGGUUUCCUGGGGAAGGUAAAUCCGCCCAGGGUUAGGCGGGACCUAAGGCGAGGCCGAAAGGCGUAGUCGAUGGACAGCAGGUUAAUAUUCCUGCCCCAUCAUGUGAGGUUGAACCAUCGGUGCGGAUCUUGAAGUUCAGCGGGACAGUGAAGCGUCCAGGCCCUUGAGGCCGUUGCUGGGUGGAUAGGUUCCAAGAAAAGCCGUAUGGGGACGAUCAUGAUGCCCGUACUAAAACUGACACAGGUAGGUGUGGCGAAUAGCCUCAGGCGCUCGAGAAAACGGUUGUGAAGGAACUAGGCAAAUUGACCCUGUAAGUUCGCGAUAAAGGGGCCCUAUCCAUUUGGAAGGGCGCAGAGAAUAGGCUCUGGCGACUGUUUAUCAAAAACACAGCACUGUGCUAACACGCAAGUGGACGUAUACAGUGUGACUCCUGCUCGGUGCCGGAAUGUUAAGGAAGUAGGUUAGCUCACGCGAAGCUUAUGACCGAAGCACCGGUAAACAGCGGCCGUAACUAUGACGGUCCUAAGGUAGCGAAGUUCCUUGUCGGGUAAGUUCCGACGUGCAUGAAUGGAGUAACGACUGGAGCACUGUCUCCACAACCGACUCGGUGAAAUAGUAGUGGCGGUGAAGAUGCCGCCUACCCGCAGCAAGACGGAAAGACCCCGUGGACCUUUACUGCAGGCAUAUAUUGGUCANGGACCUGUAUUGCGUAGGAUAGGUGGGAGGCUUUGAAGCUGAGUUUUCGGACUUGGUGGAGCCAUUCUUGAAAUACCACCCUGUGCUAGUUUGUGGCCUAACCCCGAUUCCCAUGAAGCUGGGCGGGGGACCAUGUAUGCUGGGCGGUUUGACUGGGGCGGUCUCCUCCCAAAAGGUAACGGAGGAGCGCAAUGGUUGGUUCAGCGCGGAUGGAAACCGCGUGUUGAAUGUAAGAGUACAAGCCAGCUUUACUGUGAGUCAUACAGGACAAACAGUCUCGAAAGAGGGCUCUAGUGAUCCUGCAAUCCCGUGUGGAAGGGUUGUAGCUCAACGGAUAAAAGGUACCCCGGGGAUAACAGGCUUAUCGCUCCCGAGCGUCCAUAGCGGCGGAGCGGUUUGGCACCUCGAUGUCGGCUCAUCGCAUCCUGGGGCUGAAGGUGGUCCCAAGGGUUGGGCUGUUCGCCCAUUAAAGCGGUACGCGAGCUGGGUUCAGACCGGCGUGA